UACGUAGGUGGCAAGCGUUGUCCGGAUUUACUGGGCGUAAAGAGCGUGUAGGCGGCCCGAUAAGUCCGCUGUGAAAGUCCAGGGCUCAACCCUGGGAUGCCGGUGGAUACUGUCGGGCUCGAGUCCGGAAGAGGAGUGUGGAAUUCCUGGUGUAGCGGUGAAAUGCGCAGAUAUCAGGAGGAACACCGGUGGCGAAGGCGGAUCUCUGGGCCUUACCUGACGCUGAGGCGCGAAAGCUAGGGGAGCAAACAGG
RNAcentral lists this ribosomal RNA (253 nucleotides) under uncultured bacterium. RNAcentral describes it as "partial 16S ribosomal RNA". It matches the Rfam family "Bacterial small subunit ribosomal RNA", at positions 524 to 776 of the family's 1533-position model. The record is from RNAcentral.